Molecule: long non-coding RNA, 1107 nt
Organism: Nothobranchius furzeri (turquoise killifish)
Lineage: Eukaryota; Metazoa; Chordata; Actinopteri; Cyprinodontiformes; Nothobranchiidae
Source: RefSeq, a predicted model, not a curated record
GAGCUUUCAGACGCUGCAAAGCGAACGUUUGAGGAAAAGAUAAAAGAUUUUUAAACAAAGAAUAGUUUUAUUUUUCUUUAAUGUUCGGACUCUGAUUGGACUCUGUAGGGCUUACGUUGUCAUUUUUCUUUCUUAGGUACAUUAUAUCGUCAUAAAGCAGCUGUUUUUGUUAAAGCAGCUUUCAAAAACAAUAAAUGAGCCAAUUUCCCUGAUUUAUGUUGAAACUGAAAGAUGGAAUAAUUUGGGAUGAAACUCAACCUUGUCUUCAGCUGUGAUCGUCAGCCUGCGGCUCUGCCCCUGAACCCAGUAAAACACACCCACCAUACAGUUGCUUCCUCCCCCCUUUUCAAAGGGGAGCCAUUGACAUUCUCCAUAGACUAGAAGCAGGGUGAGGCGGGAUGGGUGGGGGUGGGGGGCUGUGUCAUGCCCAGUGCGAACAGCUGAGAGGUGUGAUUUCAGGCAGGCUGACCCCCCCCCCCUCCCCCCCAACUUUGUCAGGGCCCUGAUUGGACCAGACAGGAGGUGCAGAAGAGGCCCGGGGCUUCUAAAGGACACCAACAGGUGGGAGGCCUGGCAGAGGGGGGCCCCAUUCCUGAUGGGGCUAGAAAAGGCCGGUCCACCAGGCCUGGAGUGGUCAUUAUCCACUGGCCAGAAUCCGAGGAGAAAAGCCGGUCGCAGAAAAGCUGAAGCUGAGAAUGUUUCAUUUUUAUUUUAUUUGAAUUUUUACUUUGAGUUGAAAGGACAGACGGCACCAAGGUAAUACCGAAGAGGACUCCACGUUUCUUUCCUAUUCCCCCUUUUCCUUUUCCCCUCCUUUCCCCCCUCCUCCUGCCCUGCUCUGCCUCUUGCAGCUGAAGCAACACGCCUUGCUGUGGCUGGUCAAACGGAACCAAGUCAGGUGUUUCAGUGAGGUUUGGUCCCCUUCAACCAGCUACCGCGUCGUGAACUCUGUCAGCACCAAGCCAAAGACUCCGCAGCGUUACCGCUAGCGCUGCCUGCUCUGGAGGUGGUAAUGAAAUCAAGUUUUAUAGGAUCCAUUAUCAGAGUUUUAUCACUGGAAAAUGUGUUUGUGUUAUUUAAAUCAAAUAAAAGUACUGAAGAUGUGCA